AUAUAUGCAACGAAGGAGAGCGCAUUUUACAGGCAAGCUAAAGAGAGUCGGCGGAUGGUGCAAGCCGAUGCUUCAGAGAAAAUGCUACUAGCUCCAGAGCACCGCUUUUGAAAUAGCAGUAGGAAGCGGCGGAUGGUACCGUUAAAGACCGGGACAUAGAGUGUCCAUUAAAGAGAGGCCUUCACAGGCAAUUAGGGUGGUACCGCGAGCAUACUCGUCCCUGAA
This 225-nucleotide non-coding RNA is filed under the name Peptoclostridium acidaminophilum. Its description in RNAcentral is "T-box sequence". It matches the Rfam family "T-box leader". Rfam says of the family: Uncharged tRNA acts as the effector for transcription antitermination of genes in the T-box leader family. T-boxes are found upstream of many aminoacyl-tRNA synthetase genes and some amino acid biosynthetic genes usually in Gram-positive bacteria. The anticodon of a specific tRNA base pairs to a specifier sequence within the T-box motif, and the NCCA acceptor tail of the tRNA base pairs to a conserved bulge in the T-box antiterminator hairpin. Lineage: Bacteria; Bacillati; Bacillota; Clostridia; Peptostreptococcales; Peptoclostridiaceae. The record is from RNAcentral.